CAAAAACAUAGCUAUUAGAAUGAAUAAUAGUGAAUUCUGCUCAAUGAAUUUUUUAAAUAGCCGCAGUACACUGACUGUGCAAAGGUAGCAUAAUCAGUUGGCUUAUAAUUGAAGUCUUGUAUGAAUGAAUAAAUGGGGAGUAACUGUAUUAGAAAUGGAAGGUGAAAUUACUAAGUGAGUGCAAAUGCUCACAAAUAUAUAAUAGACGAGAAGACCCUAGAAAUUUUAAAUAUUGAUAUGACCUCUUUUUUGUUGGGGCAACAGUGUAACAAGUAACUUACAUUAUAAUACAAGAAAUUCGUUUGAAAGAUGAAAUUACUCUAGGGAUAACAGCGUAAUAUUUAUAUGUUUGCGACCUCGAUGUUGGACUAGGAAACGAAUACUUAGAAGGUUAGUUGUAACACUGUUCGA
This 411-nucleotide ribosomal RNA is filed under the name Sinumelon nullarboricum. Its description in RNAcentral is "partial 16S ribosomal RNA". It matches the Rfam family "Bacterial large subunit ribosomal RNA", at positions 1808 to 2584 of the family's 2925-position model. The record is from RNAcentral. Lineage: Eukaryota; Metazoa; Mollusca; Gastropoda; Stylommatophora; Camaenidae.